RNAcentral lists this ribosomal RNA (465 nucleotides) under Vreelandella stevensii. RNAcentral describes it as "partial 16S ribosomal RNA". It matches the Rfam family "Bacterial small subunit ribosomal RNA", at positions 338 to 795 of the family's 1533-position model. The record is from RNAcentral. Lineage: Bacteria; Pseudomonadati; Pseudomonadota; Gammaproteobacteria; Oceanospirillales; Halomonadaceae.
CCUACGGGUGGCUGCAGUGGGGAAUAUUGGACAAUGGGGGCAACCCUGAUCCAGCCAUGCCGCGUGUGUGAAGAAGGCCCUCGGGUUGUAAAGCACUUUCAGUGAGGAAGAACGCCUGGUGGUUAAUACCCAUCAGGAAAGACAUCACUCACAGAAGAAGCACCGGCUAACUCCGUGCCAGCAGCCGCGGUAAUACGGAGGGUGCGAGCGUUAAUCGGAAUUACUGGGCGUAAAGCGCGCGUAGGUGGCUUGAUAAGCCGGUUGUGAAAGCCCCGGGCUCAACCUGGGAACGGCAUCCGGAACUGUCAAGCUAGAGUGCUGGAGAGGAAGGUAGAAUUCCCGGUGUAGCGGUGAAAUGCGUAGAGAUCGGGAGGAAUACCAGUGGCGAAGGCGGCCUUCUGGACUGACACUGACACUGAGGUGCGAAAGCGUGGGUAGCAAACAGGAUUAGAUACCCCGGUAGUC